This 617-nucleotide long non-coding RNA is filed under the name Trifolium pratense (red clover). RNAcentral describes it as "long non-coding RNA (TPRA_LNC003235)". The record is from RNAcentral. Lineage: Eukaryota; Viridiplantae; Streptophyta; Magnoliopsida; Fabales; Fabaceae.
AUCCUUCUUGUACUCACGACUACGAUUGUCCAUUUAUUGAAUGCCCCACUCAUCAUAUGAAGUGCAUUUGUAAUAGGUGUUAUUGCGACUAGCAUUAUGGUGAAGUUUAAAAAUAAUUCUAUGCAUGUAAGACUUUAUUUGAACAUCGUAAUGUUGUUAUUUACAUAUGAUUUCUAUCAUACUUUGAUAUAUCUAUUUUCCUUACUUUUCAAUUUUUUUGACUGGCGUAGAAGCAUAUCGAUUUAUAUCAUCGUAAUGUUGUAGAUGGAGAACAAUUGUUACCUAAUUAUAAUUUAUGUGCUUCAAUGUAAUAUGAUUAUAAGAAGUGAUAAUAUACUUUCAACAUUUUUUGAAUAAAAAUUAAUGGCAUGUGAUAUAAAGUGAACAACUAUUUGCUUGUAUUUGGUAUAUAUACAUAAAAGUUUUAGAUGAAAAUAUAAUUAAGAAAUGCUUAUUUUAUGUACAUUUUUGUUUUUAUAUAAGGCGGAGAAUAUCUACACAUCAGAGGAUAAGGCAGACUUCACCCCUAUCAUUUACUUGUAUGAUUUUAUUAGAUUAAUAAAAGGAAAAAAGAAAUAUAUACAAAAAUUGGGGAUAACCUAACUCAGUGAGUUCAC